CAUCCAAGCUCAUGGUGGGUCAGUGUUUUCUGUCACUAAAGAGUCCUGAUUCUCUCCUAGCAUCUUCCCUCUCCAUUUCAUCAUCCUGGUCUUCAUCAAGGUGUUAAAUUCUGCAGUUGUUGAGAGCUUCACCCUCCACCCCACUGAAGACUCCCUGAUGCUUGCACAGUCCAGCUGUUGGAAAUUCUUCAGAGCCAGGUAAGAGCAGCAUCCCCAGGGUUGUUGGAGUCAGCAUGGAGCAGUGAGGAUUGGCAGGACAUUCUCCAGAGCCAGGUAAGAGCAGCAUCCCCAGGGUUGUUGGAGUCAGCAUGGAGCAGUGAGGAUGGGCAGGACAGCCCUCGGCACAUGCACAGAGCAAAGGAAGCCACAGGAACGGUGCAGGAGGAAAGAGCGUGGGAGGAAUAGAUGAAGCUGUGGAUAAGAAAGGUUUUAACACCUGUAAUGGUGAAAUUUUAGUUCUCUAAGAAAAAAUAGACUUAUUAAUGAAUAUUAAAUUAUGUGUGACUUUGCUGACUUACUUUGGAGGUUGAAAGAGAAGCAGCAGCAGAGAGUCAGCUGUGCUGUUGAAGAGUUUCAAUAUCAGAAGAGAAGUGAAUGGACAUUAAAAAAACUCUCAAGCUUUACUCUGCAAUUUCCAGGCAAUCAUAUUUAUAAGGCUUUCCUGUUCCAUCUUCCCCAACAAAUGUAAGCUGAGCUUUUGCUGCAUCAGACAGUGAUGAGGAGAUUGGAGAGCCCUGCACACCUCACCUAUGUUUUAUAUGGUAUGUAUGCAGAUUUUUUUUGCAAACAGCUCUGUCAGUCCCCUGAAUCAACCAGAAGCCACCUGACAGUGGCUGUUGCAGCACUGAUGCUGCACUGAUCAGCCCAGACAGAAGCAGCCUGCACUGGUUUAAGACCCUCUCUACAAUACUGAUGCUACACAGUUGCUCAUAGGCUCAGAGUUAAUGUGGAGCUUGGGUGCUUCUGCUUGGAAACAGAAUCCAGGACAGCAGUAAGUAAUAAAUAUUUGGGAUGAUGACUUUUCA
This 1025-nucleotide long non-coding RNA is filed under the name Junco hyemalis (dark-eyed junco). Its description in RNAcentral is "lncRNA (ENSJHYG00000018240.1)". Lineage: Eukaryota; Metazoa; Chordata; Aves; Passeriformes; Passerellidae. The record is from RNAcentral.